Molecule: long non-coding RNA, 1879 nt
Organism: Onychostoma macrolepis
Lineage: Eukaryota; Metazoa; Chordata; Actinopteri; Cypriniformes; Cyprinidae
Exons: 3
Source: RefSeq, a predicted model, not a curated record
AAUGUACUGUAUUCAAAUUAAGACAUUUUCUGUAUUGUUUUUUUGUUGUUGUUGUUGUUGUUUUACAGGUGUUUUACCUGUAUUUUGAAUUUUGCACUUCAUUGCAUUGUGGUGUAGAGUUAAGUUCAUUGCACACUGAGUACGAAAUUUCCGCACGUUAAAAAAUAAAUACGACCUCACGUUGUGUCAAUCAUGUUUACAAACUGCCUCUGAAACUUUUGUCCUUCAUAAAAAAAUUCGGAUCAGUUUGUAGCAUGCAUUUGAUAUAAGGAUGAGGAAUACGAAAAUACUGAAAAACGCACACAAAAAUUUCAGACUCAGUGUGCAAUGACCUUCAAGGCUGUGUUUCCAAAUACCUUCAAUGAAAAGUAGCCAAAGCUUGUUUGAAAAGUCAUUGAAUGUUGCUAGAUAGAAUGUCGCCAAUAGUUGUGCCUUGGUCAUCCCAAGUUUGAGUCCCAGCUCAUGAACCUUUCCUGGUCCUCCCCUCUCUCUCCUACUUUGCUUCCUGUGUAACUACUGUCCUAUUAUACUAAAGGUAAAAUUGCUAAAAAAAAACAAAAAACGUUUUGUUGUUAAACAACAUGAUCCAUUAAGACUAUAUGCAGUCAAUCUGCUAGAAACAAAAGAAUGUCUGCCUUAUUUUUUUUGUUUGAUUGUAGAGUUGCAAAAUUCUGGGAAUUUUCAAGACUGGAAACUUUCCAUGGGAAUUAACGGGAAUAUAUGGGAAUAAACUGGAAAUUUAAAACAACCAGAUUUAAUGCAAUUUCAGUUUAAUUUCUACCCUACACUUUGCUUAAUCACAUGCACACAGCACACUGCUUACUGCAGGGCUAUUGAGGCCACACCCCCUACAUGCACUGUGCUUUCCUUCAUAACAUGAACAGAUCAUUUCUUAAAUCCAGCACACAAAAUAUCAAAAUGUCUAUCUUGGUAAGUAUUCAUGUAAAUUACAUGAAUAUUAAAAAAAAAAAAUGUUUUAAAACUUCCUUGUGCUAUGUGUAAUAUACUGUGCACUGUUAAACAUUUCUGUAAUUUCCACAGUUAUUUACUGUAUAUCACCCAGUGUAAUACUGCAAAUUCCCUUUACAGUAAAUAACUGUAAUACCCAUGGGAAUUUUCUGUGACGUCAGACACCACAUACAGAGACUUACUGUAUUUUUUUAAAUUGCUGUAUACUACUAUAACGGUCAUUUGGAUUGACACAAUUUGCCCUGCACCGUGUAACGCCGCAACAGCUUGGGACUGACUACACUGAAUGUGUUACAUCGCUUGUAAUGAAUGGAAAAUCCGUUUGUACUUCAUGUUAGAAACAGCGCGAGCGCUUGGAGUACAUCUGUACAUCAGAAAUAUACCGGGCAUCACAUUACUGUCCGCAUCCACUGUAGAUAGUAUAUAUAAUGUGUUCUAUAUUGUUUUUUAUUGAGUCGCGCCUCGCAGCGCCACCCGCGUCCGAGGAAGACACGGAAGCAGCGGGGCAGCGCCGCAGGUUUUCCGGAGAUGAACCUGCGAGAGUGGGAGAGCUCCGGAGAACAUCUGCGCUGUGUGUCGAUGCACCUUACGAGAGAAUAAGACCAGCAAGCAUGGCAACUGCAAUGAAGCAUCAAUAAAGACAUGAGCAGGCCAGCCACCCUGAGACUGAUAAUUCAUGAGAAGACAUUUCUGUCAAAGUGGAUGGUGAGCAAAGAUGGUGGCCACGUUUUGGAGCAGCACCUAGGUUUUCUUUGGCUGCUUGUCUUUUUUCCCCCAUUAUGUUUCUGUUGCCUAAAGAUUCUUUGUGAGGAUAAAUCCAGAGGACACAACAUAAUGCACUGCAAAACAUCCUAAGACAGGAGAAAUGGUGAAGAUGCACUGUUCCAGCAUUGGAAGACUGUAUUUUUAA